UAAAAUUCUGUUUUCUGUUUAUAAACCAUAGUGUUGUUCAUUAAUUAAUAAUGUAUGUUUGUUUUUGAAAUUACUUCAGUAAAAACAACAGAAAGCUUUCUAGGUUGUUCAGUUUCUUAAUCAAAAUAAAAGUAGGUAUCAAAAGAACUAAAAAUUGUCAGUAAGAAUAUUUAAAAUUUAAAUAUAACAAUGAACAAAGUAAAUGCGACUUUAAAGUUCUGUUUUCUGUUUAUAAACCAUAGUGUUGUUCAUUAAUUAAUAAUACAUGUUUGUUUUUGAAAUUACUUCAGUAAAAACAACAGAAAGCUUUCUAGGUUGUUCAGUUUCUUAAUCAAAAUAAAAGUAGGUAUCAAAAGAACUAAAAAUUGUCAGUAAGAAUAUUUAAAAUUUAAA
Aethina tumida (small hive beetle) is the source of this 393-nucleotide long non-coding RNA. RefSeq lists it as uncharacterized. The transcript has 3 exons. The record is from RefSeq and is a predicted model, not a curated record. NCBI's taxonomy places the organism in Eukaryota, Metazoa, Arthropoda, Insecta, Coleoptera, Nitidulidae.